Molecule: microRNA precursor, 194 nt
Filed under: Oryza rufipogon (brownbeard rice)
Lineage: Eukaryota; Viridiplantae; Streptophyta; Magnoliopsida; Poales; Poaceae
Description: MIR812 microRNA precursor family
Rfam family: MIR812 microRNA precursor family
Source: Rfam by way of RNAcentral
AAUAAAUGUAGUUAUGUACUAUUCAUGUCUUGACUGUUCAUCUUAUUUGAAAAAAAAAUAUAAUUAGUAUUUUUAUUGUUAUUAGAUGAUAAAAUAUGAAUAUUACUUAUUGUGUGACUAUUUUUUUUUCAAUUUUUUCAUAAAAUUUUUAAAUAAGAUGAUCGGUCAAACGUGUCCUCACGGCUACACUUAUU